GACGAACGCUGGCGGCGUGCUUAACACGUGCAAGUCGAACGGAAAGGCCCUGCUUUUGUGGGGUGCUCGAGUGGCGAACGGGUGAGUAACACGUGAGUAACCUGCCCUUGACUUUGGGAUAACUUCAGGAAACUGGGGCUAAUACCGGAUAGGAGCUCCUGCUGCAUGGUGGGGGUUGGAAAGUUUCGGCGGUUGGGGAUGGACUCGCGGCUUAUCAGCUUGUUGGUGGGGUAGUGGCUUACCAAGGCUUUGACGGGUAGCCGGCCCGAGAGGGUGACCGGCCACAUUGGGACUGAGAUACGGCCCAGACUCCUACGGGAGGCAGCAGUGGGGAAUAUUGCACAAUGGGCGGAAGCCUGAUGCAGCAACGCCGCGUGCGGGAUGACGGCCUUCGGGUUGUAAACCGCUUUCGCCUGUGACGAAGCGUGAGUGACGGUAAUGGGGAAAGAAGCACCGGCUAACUACGU
RNAcentral lists this ribosomal RNA (467 nucleotides) under uncultured bacterium. RNAcentral describes it as "partial 16S ribosomal RNA". It matches the Rfam family "Bacterial small subunit ribosomal RNA", at positions 28 to 506 of the family's 1533-position model. The record is from RNAcentral.